RNAcentral lists this long non-coding RNA (221 nucleotides) under Ananas comosus (pineapple). Its description in RNAcentral is "long non-coding RNA (ACOM_LNC035686)". Lineage: Eukaryota; Viridiplantae; Streptophyta; Magnoliopsida; Poales; Bromeliaceae. The record is from RNAcentral.
UACUAUGCUAUUAAUAGCACGAAGCACUUGGUGCUACCAAGUUUUCCGCCAUUAGAUCUACCCUUUUGAUCAUUUUCACCCGUUAGAUCAUACUAUUCAACCAACCACCCACUCAACCCUAGAGGGCUCACAUUAUCCUAACCACACAUCUCUUAAUCCAAUGGCAAAAAACUUGGUAGCACCAAUGACUUGGUGCUAUUAAUAGCAUAGUAGCCUAGUUC